GCCAGACUCCUACGGGAGGCAGCAGUGGGGAAUAUUGCACAAUGGGGGAAACCCUGAUGCAGCGACGCCGCGUGAGUGAAGAAGUAUUUCGGUAUGUAAAGCUCUAUCAGCAGGAACGAGACAAGACGGUACCUGACUAAGAAGCCCCGGCUAACUACGUGCCAGCAGCCGCGGUAAUACGUAGGGGGCAAGCGUUAUCCGGAACCACUGGGUGUAAAGGGAGCGUAGACGGCUGUGCAAGCCUGAAGUGAAAGGCGGGGGCCCAACCCCCGGACUGCUUUGGGAACUGUACGGCUGGAGUGCAGGAGAGGUAAGUGGAAUUCCUAGUGUAGCGGUGAAAUGCGUAGAUAUUAGGAGGAACACCAGUGGCGAAGGCGGCUUACUGGACUGUAACUGACGUUGAGGCUCGAAAGCGUGGGGAGCAAACAGGAUUAGAUACCCCAGUA
RNAcentral lists this ribosomal RNA (446 nucleotides) under uncultured bacterium. RNAcentral's name for it is "bacterial SSU rRNA". It matches the Rfam family "Bacterial small subunit ribosomal RNA", at positions 330 to 792 of the family's 1533-position model. The record is from RNAcentral.